RNA transcript from Rana temporaria (common frog), 1768 nucleotides. It is a transcript of the gene named protein tyrosine phosphatase non-receptor type 2, with no coding region annotated. The transcript has 11 exons. Lineage: Eukaryota; Metazoa; Chordata; Amphibia; Anura; Ranidae. The record is from RefSeq and is a predicted model, not a curated record.
UCAUUCUGAGAGGUGGGCGUGUUGCUAACCGGAAGAGGGUGUAGCUUGGGAGGCCGGUGCUUCGGUUGCUGUCGCAGAUCAGGGCCGGAGCUGGUUUCCUCUUCUCUUCUCGUAAACAGCGCUGCGGUGUGCCAAGAGUGCCCGGGGAGCGAUGCGGCCGGGCGGGGAGCUGUGAGAGCGGAGUUCCUGAGAGAGAAGCCGGCCAUUGGCGACAUGGAGAACGAGUUCAAGAGCAUAGACGAGGAGAACCGCUGGAGUCCGCUUUAUGGAGAAAUACGAUUUAAGUCACCUGUGUUGCCCAAUAAGAUAGCAAAAAAUACAGAGAAUAAAAACAGGAACAGAUACAGAGAUGUAAACCCAUAUGACCAUAGCCGUGUCAAGCUGCAGAAUGUGGAUAAUGAUUAUAUCAAUGCCAGUCUUGUGGUUGUUGAAGAAGCUCAAAGGAAUUACAUUCUAACACAGGGCCCUCUCCCCAACACCUGCUGUCACUUCUGGUUAAUGGUGUGGCAGCAGAAAAGCAAAGCAAUUGUAAUGCUGAACCGAGUCAUUGAGAAGGAUGCGGUAAAGUGUGCACAGUAUUGGCCUACUCCUGAGGACGAAGUGCUUCCUUUUAGGGAAACAGGACUAUGUGUACAGCUGUUAUCUGAAGAUAUUAAAUCAAACUACACAGUCAGAGUGUUACAGCUACAGAACAUCAAUACAGCAGAAUCCAGAGAAAUAUUCCAUUUUCAUUAUACCACGUGGCCAGAUUUUGGUGUACCAGAGUCCCCAGCCUCAUUUCUAAACUUUUUGAUUGAAGUCCGGAAUUCUGGUUCCCUGGAUCCUAAUUAUGGGCCCUCCGUUGUACACUGCAGUGCAGGGAUUGGGCGUUCUGGGACCUUUUCAUUGGUUGAUACCUGUCUUGUACUGAUUGAGAAAAGGAAAGAUCCCUCCACUGUGGACAUUAAACAAGUGCUAUUGGACAUGAGGCGAUACCGAAUGGGACUAAUUCAGACACCUGGUCAACUGAGAUUUUCCUAUAUGGCUGUAAUAGAGGGAACAAAAAUGAUAAUGGGAAGUUCAAGUCAACAGAAUCCGUGUACAGACAUUUCCAAAGAUGACCAAUCUGACAAAGUGGACAAUAAACAGACAGAUGAACGAUAUAAUGGGAACAGUCUCCAUACUGAAGAAGAGGAGCAGUCUGAUGGUAAAUCUCAAGAAGCAGACUCUGAUGCUCAAAGUACGCUUCGGAAAAGGGUGCGAGAUAGUAGAAAAGCCAACACUGCACAAAAAGUGCAGCAGAUGAGGCAGAAGAUGAAUGAAGUGGAGCUAAAAAGAAAAAGCUUUUAGAAACCCAGGGACACCAAGGUACAGCCUAUCUGCUUUAUUUCAAGGGCAACUUGAAGAGCAACUAGGAGCUUCAGGCCGAGGCUCCUCGAUACCUAAACCUGUGCAGCUUGUGACUAUUCUACAGCAGUUACACUGAGAGUCCAUUGACAUGCAAAGCAAGACAUGAAACCCUCUUCAGGAGAAAUAUGUGAGGUUCAUUAAUGUGCUGACCUCAUUGUGUUAUCUGUUUACCGCGUAAACGUCUCCAGCCAGGGGGUGAAGGACAUCACCAGCAUGAAACUUUGCAGACCAAGUUCACUUCAAGUAUCGUUGGGUGUUUUAUAAUGCAUGUGUUCUAGAAUCUAUGUAAGAUACAGUAGAAAAGUACUUUGUAUCAUUCUGCCAUUUACAUUGUAUUUUUAUACUUUUUGGCAGCAUUAAAUAUUUUUUUAAAAUGUUA